AAAGUGCGAUAAGCAAUGCGAAUUGCAGAAUUCCGCGAAUCAUCAGAUCCUUGAACGCAACUGGCGCUAAGAGGCUCUCCUCUUAGCAUGUCUGUUUCAGUGUCUGAAAACAUCAAAUUAACUUAAUGUGGUUGAUGACGAAAAGUAGAGGUUUACCUCUCUUUCUCGAAAUCUCCCAUGAAAGAUGUACAUGUGGGUCUUUGGACCCCUCAUCGAAUUGGUCACUGUCUCCUCAGUGAUUUCGAUAGGGGAAAUAAUUCAAUUACCUAAAUGCAUGUAGAUUUAAUCUAACUUCAAACUCUGCAUCUGAAAUCAGGCAAGAACACCCGCUGAACUUAA
This 339-nucleotide unclassified non-coding RNA is filed under the name uncultured fungus. RNAcentral's name for it is "sequence contains ITS1". The stretch from base 1 to 105 matches the Rfam family "5.8S ribosomal RNA", at positions 50 to 154 of the family's 154-position model. Lineage: Eukaryota; Fungi. The record is from RNAcentral.